AGGCGCGGAGAGGCGCAGGCCCAGGCUCCACUCCCCAGCUGUGAAAGGGUUCUUUUCCCAGAGGAGCUCUACGGUGACUUUGAAGACUUGGAAACAGGACGUGCACAAGGGAAAAUCGGGCCCCGACACUCAGAAUGAAGAUAUAGAGAAACAAGGAAGAAAUUGACCCCGACGAAGAAGAAAGUGCCAAGAAAAAGCAUUUGGAUAAGAAAGAGAAGCAGAGAAAUGAAGCAGUUUUUGGUGGAAGAAGUGGACUGAAUCACGUAGAAUUUGAAGAUCAAGAUGAUGAAGCCAGAGUUCAGUAUGAGGGUUUUCG
RNAcentral lists this long non-coding RNA (316 nucleotides) under Homo sapiens (human). RNAcentral's name for it is "non-protein coding lnc-FOXD4L5-21:4". Lineage: Eukaryota; Metazoa; Chordata; Mammalia; Primates; Hominidae. The record is from RNAcentral.